AAGCUAUUGGUACCUGUUUAUGUGGAUAAUUAUGUAAAUGAUGCUGUAUGAUGUCCUUUUCUUGUUCUAUUUAUGUUUUAUGUUUCAUGUGGAACUACUUGAGCAGGUCUCCCUUGAAAAAGAGAUCAAUGAUCUCAAUGGGAUUUAUCUGUAUAAAUAAAGGUUUGAAAUGAAAUGAAACUAUUUUUGAGUUAGCAUUUUAGUGUAAGCUGUCUAUAAAAAGCUUCACUAUAUAAGAGAAAGGGAUAAUGCAGUGAUAUUAUUCUGAAAUGGACCAAUCUGCACAAUGGCUACUUUUGCUUUUACUUUAAGUAUAUUUUGAUGCUCAUACUUUUGUACUUUUACUUGAGUAACAUUUUGAAUGCAGAGCUUUUACUUGUAUCAUCCUUCACUCGGUACUUCUACUUCUACUACAAGAUCUGAGUACUUCUCCCACCUUUCACAUCUAUAAUUAUUGUAUGUUGAGUACAGCACACAACCAUUUUCCCACCACCGUCAGAUCUUUCUGUGUGUGUUUCUGAGCUCCACUAGGUGGUGAAGUGUUCGCCAACAAAGUCCUGUAUGACGCGUCUGGAUCUGGAAACUUGGAAUGCAUCGAGCUUCUUCUGCAGAACGGAGCCAACCUCAAUGUAGCUUCGCCUGCCAGCUGCCCAUCCACAGAGCUGUGAGGGACGCAUACUGCAGGCCGACAUCUCUGCAGCACUUCAGUCGACUUCAGAGGUCACAUGACCCUCGGGAUGCUGAAUGACCCUGAAUCUGCUUUCCAUUAUCCUCCGAGACUAAAGAGCUACCUGACCUACAGAGAGAACGACCUAUAGGGCCACCUCUCCUCUCUGUGAAACACUUUUGAUCUGUGUGAUGGAAACACUUUUCUCAAAAUAUAUGAAAUGGGAAUGCAUUUUCUCUGAAGGCCUACCACUUCUUUUAAGUGUCAGAAAAAAAUAUGACUUCCUAUGUUUGAAAAGUUAAAUGUUUUCUCUCUUUAUUGAGUCUUCUUAUUUUGCAUUGACAUAGCACAUUCUGUCUUUGUUAAAAGGCGAUUGAUUAAUGGCCAUGAUAGAUAACAAAUAAUAAUUUAAUAAGGUGUUAGGAAAGGCCGGGAAUAUCCAGAAAGAAAAUCACAAAGAAAGUACUUUUUUACAAGGACACACAUGGCUUUAAUUUACUUGUUGGAUUGGUCUGUCUGGAUUUUUUUUUUUAAAUCUGUCCAAUAGCAGGUUUUUAUUUUAUGUUUUACAGAUUUGACCUGAAGGUUAGUGACAGUUUUUACAAAACAAAAACUUAUCAUUAAGAAAAAGACGAAUGAAAUAGGUGUGUAAUAUAGCAUAUGCUAUAAUUUCAAUAAACGUAUGUGUUUCUUUAUAUUGAACCCCUAAUGUCAAUGUGUCUGUGUGCAUUUCAUAUACCAGGCUGUUCACCCAUGUCCCAUACCUUGUUUACCUUGACUUUUUUACACAUAAGAGCUUAAAAAGUGCAGACUAAAAGAAAAUGUUGAUAAAAUGUCUGCAAGAGAGCAACGAAACAGCUGGUCAUUCGGAUGGGCCGUAAAUGCACUUUCCACUCACACAGGCGUUUUCACUUCAUGCUUAUUAGACCUCAGCUCAAAGAGAAUAUAAGCAGGGAACUCGGCAACCAAUCAGAACCAUUUAGAAGUUAGAUGUUCCGCCUUAACAGGUGCAAUCAGACGCAGUCCUGAGAAGAAGUCUAAUUAGGAGGUUAAGUGAAAACACCUCACUUUGUACUGGCUAUACCUGAUUAUAUUGUGUAUUAGAAAAAUGACCUUUUACAUAGUAUUGUCUCUUACACAUAUGUUUAAGAAGUCAUUUUGCAAUAAACUAUUUAUGGUAACAAAUA
Gymnodraco acuticeps is the source of this 1854-nucleotide long non-coding RNA. RefSeq lists it as uncharacterized. NCBI's taxonomy places the organism in Eukaryota, Metazoa, Chordata, Actinopteri, Perciformes, Bathydraconidae. The record is from RefSeq and is a predicted model, not a curated record. The transcript has 2 exons.